AUCGCCAGGCAUUUCAGUGUAAAAUAACUACGUUUUGUUGAUAAAAGUGCUUAAAAUGUGUCCGGUUCUCCCUCCCCCUGUAACCCGUGAGCGCGAUGGAGGAGCAGGCAUGGCUGGUCCGGGCCAGGUCCGACUCUGAAAGCUCCCGGGCUGGCAGCUUCGGGACAAUGGCUUAUACCGACGACAAGCUUACUGAAGGCGCUGGGGAGCCGGGCAGCGCAGUGGGAACGGGUAGCCUGAACAGUGCACCCCAGGACCAUGCCGACACAGAGAGCGGCGAACUCCUCGAUUACAAUGAUGCCAGCGUCCUUGAAAAGUUUCAUGAAGAUGCUUUGG
Hyposmocoma kahamanoa is the source of this 336-nucleotide long non-coding RNA. RefSeq lists it as uncharacterized. Lineage: Eukaryota; Metazoa; Arthropoda; Insecta; Lepidoptera; Cosmopterigidae. The transcript has 3 exons. The record is from RefSeq and is a predicted model, not a curated record.